GGGCGAUUAGCUCAGUUGGAUAGAGCGUUAGCCUCCGAAGCUAAAGGCCGCGCGUUCGAAUCGCGUAUCGCCCACCA
RNAcentral lists this transfer RNA (77 nucleotides) under Candidatus Adiutrix intracellularis. RNAcentral describes it as "tRNA-Arg". It matches the Rfam family "tRNA". Rfam says of the family: Transfer RNA (tRNA) molecules are approximately 80 nucleotides in length. Their secondary structure includes four short double-helical elements and three loops (D, anti-codon, and T loops). Lineage: Bacteria; Pseudomonadati; Thermodesulfobacteriota; Desulfarculia; Candidatus Adiutricales; Candidatus Adiutricaceae. The record is from RNAcentral.